Marmota flaviventris (yellow-bellied marmot) is the source of this 444-nucleotide long non-coding RNA. RefSeq lists it as uncharacterized. NCBI's taxonomy places the organism in Eukaryota, Metazoa, Chordata, Mammalia, Rodentia, Sciuridae. The record is from RefSeq and is a predicted model, not a curated record.
GCAGAGGAGGUGACAUGUCAGCUGGUGCAGGAUGAAGAGAGGUGGCUGCUGAGGAAGGCCUCAGGAGCUCCACUGGCUCAACUUGGAAACUUGGAUGUGCUUGUUGGGGGUGUGUGGCCUUGCUGAGGGACUCAAAUCGGGGCCCUGCCCUCUGGGCCUCUUUCUGCCUCCACCCAAACUGCCCUCUGGCCCCGGGCCUGGCCUGUAAGUCUGCAUCAUCUUCACUGUGACAUCUCUGAAGAACCGACAGACAGUUCUGGACAGCUGCCCCUGCCCAGGCCCUGCGGAGGCCCUGCCAGGACCUGGCUCCAGUUUCCACCAGCCCUAGGGAGCAGUGGCUUCAGAGGUUCCUCCUACCUUCUUGCCAAGCACCAUUCCCAGAGGGGAGGGGGGGCAGGGCCAGGUCCUGGCCUCCACCCAUCCUUCCCCUAAAUCUCUGCUGGA